RNAcentral lists this small RNA (149 nucleotides) under uncultured Fusicatenibacter sp. Its description in RNAcentral is "Clostridiales-1 RNA". It matches the Rfam family "Clostridiales-1 RNA". Lineage: Bacteria; Bacillati; Bacillota; Clostridia; Lachnospirales; Lachnospiraceae. The record is from RNAcentral.
GAUGUCAGGGGCAAAAGGUCAUGCUUUUCAUGUUUUCAUGAAAAAGCAUGACAUUAAGACCCGUAAAAAUAUGAGAAAGCAGGCCGAUCGGCGGAUUCCGAAUGUUUUUAGGAUUGCGGGAGCGCAAAGUGCGGAGCGAUCCAUAGUAU